Molecule: ribosomal RNA, 1433 nt
Filed under: metagenome
Description: bacterial SSU rRNA
Rfam family: Archaeal small subunit ribosomal RNA
Source: RNAcentral
UCUGGUUGAUCCUGCCAGAGACCACCGCUAUUGGAAUUCGCUUAAGCCGUGCGAGUCGAGAGGGUUCUGCCCUCGGCUGACCGCUCAGUAACACGUGGAGAACCUGCCCUGAAGUGGGGGAUAAGCUCGGGAAACUGAGGAUAAUACCCCAUAGACCAUAGAUGCUGGAAUGCUCAAUGGUCGAAAGCUCCGGCGCUUCAGGAUGGCUCUGCGGCCUAUCAGGUUGUAGGGAGGGUAACGGCCUCCCUAGCCUACGACGGGUACGGGCGUUGAGAGACGUCGCCCGGAGAUGAACUCUGAGACACGAGUUCAGGUCCUACGGGGCGCAGCAGGCGCGAAAACUGCACAAUGCUGGAAACAGCGAUGCGGGGAUUCCAAGUGCCGGCACUGAGUGUCGGCUGUUCCAUUGCCUAAAAAGCAUAGGAAGUAAGGGCUGGGUAAGACGGGUGCCAGCCGCCGCGGUAAUACCUGCAGCCCGAGUGGUGGCCGUUAUUAUUGGGCCUAAAACGUCCGUAGCCGGUUUGGUAGAUGCCUGUGUAAAUCGAACGGCUUAACCGUUCGAAGUGUGGGUAGACCGCCAGACUAGGGACCGGGAGAGUCACGAAGUACUCCGGGGGUAGAGGUGAAAUUCUGUAAUCCUCGGGGGACUACCGGUGGCGAAGGCGUCGUGAUAGAACGGCUCCGACGGUGAGGGACGAAGCCCUGGGGCGCAAACCGGAUUAGAUACCCGGGUAGUCCAGGGUGUAAACGCUGCGGUCUUGGUGUCGGGAGUCCUACGCGGGCACCCGGUGCCGGAGAGAAGUUGUUAAGACCGCUGCCUGGGGAGUACGGCCGCAAGGUUGAAACUUAAAGGAAUUGGCGGGGGAGCACCGCAACGGGAGGAGCGUGCGGUUUAAUUGGAUUCAACGCCGGAAAGCUCACCGGAGUCGACCAUUUGAUGUGGGCCAGUCUGAUGGGCUUGCCUGAAUUAUGGAGAGGUGGUGCAUGGCCGCCGUCAGUUCGUACCGUAAGGCGUUCUGUUAAGUCAGAUAACGAACGAGACCCUUAUCUCCAAUUGCCACCGGGAUCUCCGGAUCUCGAGCACAUUGUAGAGACCGCUGGUGCUAAGUCAGAGGAAGGAUAGGGCAACGGUAGGUCAGUAUGCCCCGAAUGCUCCGGGCUACACGCGCGCUACAAAGGACGGGACAAUGGGUAUCAACCCCGAGAGGGGAAGGCAAUCCCGAAACCCGUUCGUAGUUCGGAUCGAGGGCUGAAACUCGCCCUCGUGAAGCUGGAUUCCGUAGUAAUCGCGUCUCAAAAUGGCGCGGUGAAUAUGCCCCUGCUCCUUGCACACACCGCCCGUCAAACCAUCUGAGUAGGGUUCAAGUGAGGGGUCCUCCCCAUGGGGAUUUCAAACUUGGGCUCUGCAAGGAGGGUUAAGUCGUAACAAGGUA